AAGUCGUAACAAGGUUUCCGUAGGUGAACCUGCGGAAGGAUCAUUAACGAAUAACUAUGGUGUCUUGGUUGUCGCUGGCUCCUCGGAGCAUUGUGCACGCCCGCCAUUUUUAUCUUUCCACCUGUGCACCGACUGUAGGUCUGGAUAACUCUCGCCUCUGGGCGGAUGCGAGGAUUGCUUGGUAACCCGGGCUCUCCUCGAAUUUCCAGACUCUACGUCUUUUUACACACCCCAAACGUAUGAUACAGAAUGUAGUCAAUGGGCUUCACAGCCUAUAAAACACUAUACAACUUUCAGCAACGGAUCUCUUGGCUCUC
RNAcentral lists this unclassified non-coding RNA (317 nucleotides) under air metagenome. Its description in RNAcentral is "partial contains small subunit ribosomal RNA, internal transcribed spacer 1, and 5.8S ribosomal RNA". The stretch from base 1 to 46 matches the Rfam family "Eukaryotic small subunit ribosomal RNA", at positions 1786 to 1831 of the family's 1831-position model. The record is from RNAcentral.